This 1113-nucleotide long non-coding RNA is filed under the name Prunus dulcis (almond). RNAcentral describes it as "sRNA ncRNA". The record is from RNAcentral. Lineage: Eukaryota; Viridiplantae; Streptophyta; Magnoliopsida; Rosales; Rosaceae.
CCAUCUUUCACUUUUGUUUAGUAGUUCUAAGCUCUCUCAAAUCCUCUUUCACAAUUUAUCGGUCUCACUCACUCAUCCCUCCUCUCCUCUCUUCUCUCUCUCUCUCUCUCUCUCUCUCUCUCUCUCUCUCUCUCUCUCUCUCGCACCCACAUCCGCAACGGUCACUGUCACCUCCUCAGAAACCCUAACCCACAUCGGCGACGACGACCGCACCCUCUCACUCUCUGUCACCUCUUUUGACCUGCAUGCCUAGAGAUGGCUUCUCAGGUAGCCAGCUCGGCUUUUCUCCUACGCAUUUGGGUUUUCUUCUCCUUGUUUCAAUUUCAUAUAUGGGUCUGAAUUUUUGGUGCUUGAUGUGAGUUCAAGUCCCUCCAAGUCAAAUUUAGGUGAGAUUGUACAGAAAUUUGUUGAAAUGUAGGUUUAAUUUAAAAUUUUACUCUCUCUGUUUACAGUUAAUAUUUUCAGCUUGUGUAGAGAAUGUUAUUUCAGUGGGAUUAUACAAGCACUUUUUGAACCAAAAUUUUGGGAUUCUGCAACAAAUAUUUCUCAGUUUGUCUUAAGGAAUAUUAUGCUUGAAGCUUGUCCAGUCUACAAUGAUUUUGAAGAUUUUCUUUGGCUUAUUGAAUUUGAUUACUGAGGGGUUUUUAUUUUGACAAAAAACAAUUGAAGAAACACAGUUAUUUGGUGCAAUGGUCUCUUGGUUCAAUGAUCUGAAUUUGUUUUGUUCUGUUUUGGGAUGUGAUUUUUGAAUGAACUACAUAAAUUGAUUAUGUCUUGAGGUGGUGGAGGAUAUCUCCAAAAGUGAUUGUGGAGUUUGUAAGUUUUAUGAGAAUGCCAAUAUUUUAACAUAAGUUUGAUAUUGUAAAGUUGGCAUAUGUUGGAUCUUAGUUUUCUCUAUUUUUCGUAAUUCAAUCUUGGAUCUGUUUUUGGUGCAGUCUAUAGUCCUCAAGGUAGGUAUCAUGCCAAGAUUGUGUUGGUGCCGUGAAAAGGGUUCUUAGAAAACUUGAAGGUUUGACAGCUCUUGCAUUUAUCCAGUUCCAUUGUCUUGCUCUUCUUCUUCUCUGAGAUUGUGCUUCUUUAACUGUUUGAACAAUGCCAAAUGCACUAUUGAUG